UACAGAGGUGCCGAGCGUUAGGCGGAAUCACUGGGCUUAAAGCGCGUGUAGGCGGGCCGGUAAGUGCCUCGUGAAAUCCCACGGCUCAACCGUGGAACGGCCGGGCAUACUGGCGGCCUUGAGGUGCGUAGGGGCGAGCGGAACGAACGGUGGAGCGGUGAAAUGCGUAGAUAUCGUUCGGAACGCCGACGGUGAAAACAGCUCGCUGGGCGCAUCCUGACGCUGAGACGCGAAAGCCAGGGGAGCGAACGGG
RNAcentral lists this ribosomal RNA (253 nucleotides) under uncultured bacterium. Its description in RNAcentral is "partial 16S ribosomal RNA". It matches the Rfam family "Bacterial small subunit ribosomal RNA", at positions 524 to 776 of the family's 1533-position model. The record is from RNAcentral.